GUCCAGGGAUGGGAAUCAAACCCACAGUGUUCUGCAUACCGGGCAGAUGCCAUGUCCACUAGGCUACCCUGGA
This 73-nucleotide transfer RNA is filed under the name Cordylochernes scorpioides. RNAcentral's name for it is "tRNA-Thr". The record is from RNAcentral. Lineage: Eukaryota; Metazoa; Arthropoda; Arachnida; Pseudoscorpiones; Chernetidae.